GAUGAACGCUGGCGGCGUGCCUAAUACAUGCAAGUCGAGCGAACAGACGAGGAGCUUGCUCCUCUGACGUUAGCGGCGGACGGGUGAGUAACACGUGGAUAACCUACCUAUAAGACUGGGAUAACUUCGGGAAACCGGAGCUAAUACCGGAUAAUAUAUUGAACCGCAUGGUUCAAUAGUGAAAGACGGUUUUGCUGUCACUUAUAGAUGGAUCCGCGCCGCAUUAGCUAGUUGGUAAGGUAACGGCUUACCAAGGCGACGAUGCGUAGCCGACCUGAGAGGGUGAUCGGCCCCACUGGAACUGCGCCACGGUCCAGACUCCUACGGGAGGCAGCAGUAGGGAAUCUUCCGCAAUGGGCGAAAGCUUGACGGAGCAACGCCGCGUGAGUGAUGAAGGUCUUCGGAUCGUAAAACUCUGUUAUUAGGGAAGAACAAAUGUGUAAGUAACUAUGCACGUCUUGACGGUACCUAAUCAGAAAGCCACGGCUAACUACGUG
RNAcentral lists this ribosomal RNA (497 nucleotides) under uncultured bacterium. RNAcentral's name for it is "partial 16S ribosomal RNA". It matches the Rfam family "Bacterial small subunit ribosomal RNA", at positions 28 to 507 of the family's 1533-position model. The record is from RNAcentral.